RNAcentral lists this ribosomal RNA (774 nucleotides) under uncultured Neocallimastigales. Its description in RNAcentral is "partial large subunit ribosomal RNA". It matches the Rfam family "Eukaryotic large subunit ribosomal RNA", at positions 23 to 616 of the family's 3401-position model. The record is from RNAcentral. Lineage: Eukaryota; Fungi; Neocallimastigomycota; Neocallimastigomycetes; Neocallimastigales.
AAGAGAGAGACAUGCGCGCAUAUCAAUAAGCGGAGGAAAAGAAACUAACAAGGAUUCCCCUAGUAACGGCGAGUGAAGCGGGAAGAGCUCAAAUUUGAAAUCUUAAAGGGUUUCCCUUUACGAAUUGUAGUUUAAAGAAGUGUUUUCUGUUGAGGUUUGGUAAAAGUUCUUUGGAAUAGGACAUCAUAGAGGGUGAGAAUCCCGUAUUUGACCUUUACUUUCAACUUUGUGAUACACUUUCAAAGAGUCGGAUUGUUUGGGAAUGCAGUCCAAAAUGGGUGGUAAAUUUCAUCUAAAGCUAAAUAUUGGCGAGAGACCGAUAGCGAACAAGUACCGUGAGGGAAAGAUGAAAAGAACUUUGAAAAGAGAGUUAAACAGUACGUGAAAUUGUCAAAAGGGAAGCGUUUGACACCAGUGUUGUUUUUCUGAAAAUCAAUUAAAGAACUGUUUAUGCUAAGUUGUUUAGACUUUAUCAGCUAACUGUUUAGUUUUGAGCUUUUCUUUAAUGCACUUUUCAGUUAACAAGUCAACAUCAAUUUCUUUUGCUGUAAAAAAGCUUGAGGAAGGUGGCUUGAGAUUCGUCUUAAGUGUUUAUAGCCUCUUGCCUAUGCAGUCGGAGAGAUUGAGGUCUGCAGCGUAGAUCCUUCGGGGCUAAAUGCAUUUGUGCUAAGUUAUAGCAUUUUAUAGACAACUUGUUGACUAUGAUUUGUCUUGUAGCUUACUCGCUUAUGUUAUUUUACCUACGCUUAGGAUGUUGAGCGCAUGUCUCUCUCU